This 468-nucleotide ribosomal RNA is filed under the name uncultured bacterium. Its description in RNAcentral is "partial 16S ribosomal RNA". It matches the Rfam family "Bacterial small subunit ribosomal RNA", at positions 28 to 507 of the family's 1533-position model. The record is from RNAcentral.
GACGAACGCUGGCGGCGUGCUUAACACAUGCAAGUCGAACGGAAAGGCCCUGCUUUUGUGGGGUGCUCGAGUGGCGAACUGGUGAGUAACACGUGAGUAACCUGCCCUUGACUUUGGGAUAACUUCAGGAAACUGGGGCUAAUACCGGAUAGGAGCUCCUGCUGCAUGGUGUGGGUUGGAAAGUUUCGGCGGUUGGGGAUGGACUCUCGGCUUAUCAGCUUGUUGGUUGGGUAGUGGCUUACCAAGGCUUUGACGGGUAGCCGGCCUGAGAGGGUGACCGGCAACAUUGGGACUGAGAUACGGCCCAGACUCAUACGGGAGGCAGCAGUGAGGAAUAUUGCAAAAUGGGCGGAAGCCUGAUGCAGCAACGCCGCGUGCGGGAUGACGGCCUUCGGGUUGUAAACCGCUUUCGCCUGUGACGAAGCGUGAGUGACGGUAAUGGGUAAAGAAGCACCGGCUAACUACGUG